CUGUGCACAUGUUAACAUACAUUUGCAAGACAGAAAGCAUUCAGUGGACUUUGUGAAAAACACAGAGAUGUGACAGAGUUCUUUUAUUUGUAAUUGCCUCAUGAAAUCAGACAUUUAUUAGCCUUAAAAGGAAUGUAAUAACUGUGACCGAUCAACUGUGCUCCAAAAAUCUUUUAGGUGAAGGGAAAAAAAAAGGAAUUUCCAAACAGUUUCCGUUGCCAUGGUUCUUGCCCUGAAUGACAGCCUGAAGGCUUUAUGGCCUUUUGAGGGAUAGUCCUCUUCCCCCCUUCCCUUCCCUCAUCUCCUUGUCUCCUCUCCCUCCUCCCCUCUCGCACUCAGUGGCGCUCUUCCAUGCUCACUGUCUGCACUGUAAAGCACUCAGGGAUUUAUUGUCAGCUGGAGUUUCCUUGAUGGGGUGUAAUAAUACUGUGCCUUUCUCACCCGCUAAGGUGGUAGAAUCCCCUCCCUCUGCCGAUGAGAGGACCCCCGCGGGCUGCCCUGUGUGCGCCUGUGUUCUGUGGCAGACUUAUAAGCCUGGCAGCUCCACCCCAUGGCUGUCCAAACAAGGUUUCUCAACAGGCGCCCACAUCAAAAAGAGCAGUGUAUGGGGGCUGCAGGAAAGUGAAACGGCAGGAUGUUGCCUCUAGUUAUUUAUUUAUCCGGCUUUUCACAAACAGAAGAAAAGAGUUAAAAGCAUGUGAGCCCUUUUGGCGUGGCUGCUGAGGGAAGUGACUUGUGCGCCAGCGUCACUUGGGAGGUCUUGAGGGACAUGUCGAGUUUAGGCUGUCUUCCCGACUGGAGCGGCGUCACACCAGAGUCUGUGUUCACUUAUUUACCACACCAAUGCUUGUCAUGCCAAUGUUCCCAAAUUAUCAAGACAUAACAGGACGCCUGUCAUCAACUGUGAUCUCACAGUAAAAACAUCUGACUAUUGCUCUAUUGCUGUUUUGUUUUGGGUAAAUAGACAGUAAACAGCUGUCAGAAACAUAUUACAGCAUUCAUUUUAACAUUUUUUUUUCAUCAUGCACUGAAGUGAAUUAUACACAUUUGCUGUCCAUUUAAAGGCGAUAAUGUAAUCAACAUUUAAUCCACAGUAAAUUAAAAUUCUGCAUAUGAGUAAAAUAAAGCAUGUAAUUAAGUCAGUUAUUUACUAGGAUUAUCCUUUAGCACUGUUGCAUAUUAAGCAUCAUCAAGUUGUCAACAUUUUGUGUAAGCAUCAAGAUUCUUGUUUUACAAUGCAGAUAAUUAAAAUUUCAGUAUUUAGAGAAUAUUUUAGUGUGUAUAAUGUACAAUAUACUUGAUAUUAUAGUGUAAUUAUUUAAUGAAGACACACAUAGAUUAUGUGGCCUGCUGAUAAAUGUACAAAAGUUUAAUGGGGGAUAAAUAAAAAUCCUAUUCAGCUUCA
Molecule: long non-coding RNA, 1405 nt
Organism: Lates calcarifer (barramundi perch)
Lineage: Eukaryota; Metazoa; Chordata; Actinopteri; Centropomidae
Exons: 2
Source: RefSeq, a predicted model, not a curated record